Molecule: long non-coding RNA, 1563 nt
Organism: Solea senegalensis (Senegalese sole)
Lineage: Eukaryota; Metazoa; Chordata; Actinopteri; Pleuronectiformes; Soleidae
Exons: 5
Source: RefSeq, a predicted model, not a curated record
UCUCCCUGAGCAGGAAAUAAUCCCAAAACUUUCAUGGUUAUUUGUUCAUUUCCUCAAAAAUGAUAUUGUUACUUUAGACGGAGACAAAAGGCUGAGUGAAUGAAUGAAUGAAUCCGUCACCUUUGGUCCUGGUAAACCAACACCGUCUGAUCCGGUCUCUCCCAGCAGACCUGGAGGUCCUGGAAGACCCUGAGAAACAGAAGAUGAAGACGAUGAAGAUGAAGAUGUGACUCUGCUUGAUGAAGGUCCAGAAAAACCUCGUCCUGGUUCUCCCACAGCUCCAGCUGGACCUUGAGGACCUGGUUCUCCCUGAACAAAACAAAGUAGUUCAGUCAACCGAUGUCUCUGCAGUUUGGCAGUUAAAGCAUCAGUACGUGAUCUCACCUUGGCUCCAGGUAUUCCUCGACCCGAGGGUCCAGUUGUUCCUGGAGGACCUGGAUUUCCUGCUUCUCCCUGAAGAAGAAGAAGAAGAAGAUUUUACGUUUGUGGGAACCUUUACCUGGAGCGCCGUCAGGUCCCCGGGGUCCUGGUAACCCGAGGUCACCCUGUCAUCAGUGGAGUGAACGUCAGUGAAGCCAUGACACGGAUUUAUGAAAACAUGAAAACAUGAAUUUACCUUCUGUCCUGCAACUCCGUCUUCUCCAGGCUGACCUGGAAAACCUGGCAACCCCUCAGCUCCUGGAUCACCCUGACAGACAGACAGACACAGAGACAGACACAGACACAGACACACAGACAAUAACACAUGUGAGUUUCAGUCUUUGUUGGUGAAACAUUGACUCACAGUUCAGUGAAGAAUGAGCAUGAACUGACUUUAGGUCCUGGUUGUCCCACUCCUCUCUCUCCUGGAACUCCAGCUUCACCUGGAAGACCCUGAUUCCCCUGAACAGAAUGUUCUUCAUCAUCAUCAUCAUCAUCAUCACCUCCAUCAUCAUCAUCAUCAUCAUCCUCUGCUGGUUUACCUUUGGUCCUGUGAGUCCAAUUCCUGGAGCUCCUCUUGGUCCUGAAGGUCCCACUGGACCUUGAUCGCCCUUUCAACAGGAAGAUGAAGACCUGGACCUGGAGCACCAAGUGGACCUGGAACUCCAGGUGGUCCAAAACUGCCCUGAGAAAACAAUGUUCUUGUUUCUUAAAGGACCUAAAGGUCCUGGUCUUCCCUGAAGACCCUUUUCACCCUGGAAGCAUCACAGUCAACCACGUCAGAGUCAGUAAGUGAUAAUAUUUAUCCUACAUCAGAAAGAUGAUUUAUUUAUGCAUUGUUGCUGCCAAAGAUUCUUCUUUAAAGGUCCAGUCUGUAAGAGUUAGUGACAUCUAGUGGAGAAAAUGCAGAUGACCACAAAUGGUGGCUUUCACAUAUGGCAUAUUUCCACCAGCUCUACUCGCCUUGCCUAAACUGGUGGCUAGUUCUUAGCACAAGUUAGUCCGACUUUGAGAAAUUCAAUCUGGUACAGUUUUGGUCAGACUAACAUGUUUUACAUGUAUUUACAUGUAAUUGUCCAGUUGUAGUUGGAUUAAGACAAUAAUGUUUUUAAUUAAUUAAUAGUCAAAAGUGUCACCUUGGAU